Non-coding RNA from Zootermopsis nevadensis, 2448 nucleotides. The record is from RefSeq and is a predicted model, not a curated record. NCBI's taxonomy places the organism in Eukaryota, Metazoa, Arthropoda, Insecta, Blattodea, Termopsidae.
UCGCAGGCAAACAUUUGGUGUACACCGCUGUUAAAUGCCGGUCUUUAAAAGAUUGUAAAGUCGCAUUUAAUUACAGCAAUGCGGAAAUUUUGUUACGGUUUAGGUUAAUAAUCAUUCUUUAUUUUGAUUUGUGCUAAAGAGGUCUGAAUCUCUUCAUUGGGAGCUAUAUCAACGUACGGUGAAGAGUUUUUAGCCCUGCCCGAUUCCGAAGCUGGAGGACCACCACUUGUCGGUUGUCCGUGACUACUUCGCAUCUACCUUCCACAUCUGAAGGCCGUCUCCGCCAUUCGUAAGCUGAGGACGUGCCAUACAACGGUGACAAAGGACUUUCUUCAAAUGUGUGGGCAAAGCCCGACUCACAAGGCCGAGUUUCUGCAAGAACCGACUACACGUUUAUAAUAUUCAUUGAGAUUCAAGCUGAGCCUGGCGGUUGGCUGCAGAUGUUUCAAAUUAAGGGUCUGGCCGUCGAAUCGGAAACUUCUAUCAAAAAUCACUCCUAUCAAUAUGAAGCUUCAACACACGCAGCUAGCGAAGUCUCUGUACAAAGCCAUUUGGUGGUUGAAGGUGCUUAUUUCAGGGUGGGGCUUCGAAUCGUGCAGCCCACGAUGGAUGAACGAAAGGAAAUUGGAAUAAAGAACAAAGGAAACUGAAAGCAAUAACGAGAAAUGGGAACCGAUUCAAGAUUGAAAAUUACUAUAGAGGUUAUGAAAGAAUGGAUAUUUCAGAUUAAUACGUUACUGUUUUUCGCUGCAGUGUCGAAACGUGGGAAUUUGGAUGGUUUCUUCAGAGCGUAUUCCAAACUUGUUGUUAUUAAAGACACGUUGCCUCCCAUUUUGUGGAAUGUACAUGGCUACUGCGUCGAGAAAGAUAAACUUUCUGGCUAUAUAAAAAUGAGUACAACAAUUUAAUCAUAAAACCUGAAUGGAAAAGCCCAUUAUAAGACAGAGAAAUACAUUGAAAGUUAACAUUAAAAUUAAUAUUAGAGAAAUAGGGUGUCAUGGUGUCAAUUGAAUUCAUCUGGCUCUGCGCAACAGGCCGGCUGACCAAUCCCUCAGCACUGUUGUUCUAAAUGGAAAUGGAAUUCAAGUUAUGAAACUUCUCAAUGAAACUUGCCGACAUCACUGAAUGCAACCUCAUUAGUGCGUACACUCUUUUCACACCUCGCCGCGAAGUACGCGUUUAACUUGGGUGACAUGCAAGGGAAGACGCUGAAAGUGAUAAUACGACAAUAGAAGUAUUUUGCACACAGAUCUUCGAAUAUGAGAGGUUAGGAGAGAGGUUAGUAACUGUUAUUACUCGAAUAACACAAAUGAAUAUCUAUUUCUGAAGCCGGAGGAGAACCAGCUCCCAAAAUAUGGUCCGCAUCAAAUAUACCUCAAACAAUGGCCAAUGUCCAAAAUACUAUAAUGUUCGAAAUUGCCAUAAUAUAAUACGCACAGGCUAUCUAACAGAGUUUGUUAAUUUCUUCGUUAAUGUAUCCUAAGUAUUUCCAAAUUAGAGUGGGCUAAACCAAAGCGGUGCUCUGUCUCCGCCGCAUUUAAAUGUUAUUUUCGAAUAUACCAGGAAGGACUGGAACUGAAUGAUCUAAAUCAGGUUCACAUCUAUGCUGAUGGUGUUAAUUAAUUUGGCCAGACUAUAGAUACCAUAAAGAAUGGCGCCGUAUUGUCCUACAGAGAAGAAAAUAAAAUGAUUUGGGACUUAAUACAGAAGAACUUGACAGAAGACGAGAAUAAACAGUAAACUCAUAACUAUAACGUAUGUAAUAGAUGGUUCGAGAAUAAUGUACUUGAAGACGCGAGAAGUACCAACUUCGAAAAAUUUUAGUAUAUCUCAGACAAUAGGCAGCGACCAAUACAGUAUUGUUAUAACCAUAAAAAUAGUAGGAAUUUCGAUUGAUAGUUACCACAGCAUCCUUGGUAAAUUUUUGAAGAUGCAUCACGUUUGCCAGUACACCGCAUUGAGAAUGCUGAUGAAGGAACAAUGCGACGACCGCAUGAAGAUCUAUCAUGAGCUCAUCAGUACAGCAGAUAACAAUGCAGGGAUUCUCCGCAGGUAAUUAAACCUGGUGCUUCGUUUAGGUCCUCAAAGGAAACGGCAGUUCUGACACGAUCGUUCAAAUUUGGGAGUCGUUUUUCGACUGGUAAUGGCAUUAUGAACCACGCGGUUACUGCGGUAAAUGAAGUCACUCACUUACAGGAAGCAAUCCACCGUAACCCUUCAGAAUGUGGGUGGCCAAGAGCUCAUGCGUGACAUAUCUGGCAACUCACCUACUUCUCUCCUUCUGAGAUGUCACCCUACCAAUCAUCUGGCUUGCGAUGUCUAGCUUUGUCCGCAGAUGAAAAUCCAAGUUAAUACCGGAAGUGUGAAGCUGCAGAAGGAGACAUAAGUCCUCUCACACUCGUCGGGUUUAAUAUGGCCCUUAUGCUGUGGUGCUUUCGAAGUUCGAUU